Molecule: long non-coding RNA, 712 nt
Organism: Gadus chalcogrammus (walleye pollock)
Lineage: Eukaryota; Metazoa; Chordata; Actinopteri; Gadiformes; Gadidae
Exons: 2
Source: RefSeq, a predicted model, not a curated record
GAGAGCUUGGCAGGAAAUAGCUGAACAAGUCAAUGCGUGAGUCAAAUAAAUUAGUAAAAUAAAAUAAAAUAAGAGGAAAGUUUAAUAUCUUCCACUUAUUCAAUAUGUAAAUUGUGUGUGUGUGUGUGUGUGUGUGUGUGUGUGUGUGUGUGUGUGUGUGUGUGUGUGUGUGUGUGUGUGUGUGUGUGUGUGUGUGUGUGUGUGUGUGUGUGUGUGUGUGUGUCAAUUUACGCAACCCCGAGUUGCCCCACGAGGACUUGGCAGCAAAUGAAGUACAAAAAUAUAGUUUAAACAGCAAAUCGAAAAAAUGCAGAGGCCCGGCAGACUGGAGGGGGUCCACCACCUGCAGCCCUCACAGAGGCUGAGGAGAUGGCCCUCAGCCAACAGAGUAUGCGUCCUGUGGCUGAGGGCAUCCCUGGGGGGAGCUCCUCUGAUCCCCCCACCCCCCAGGAUAGAAGUGCCUUUACAGUAUAAGAGGUUGGUUAUUCAAAAUAAUUAAAUAUGUACACGCAACCCAGCGCGUUGCAAAUUAGAUGGGGCAAUAUUCUGGCUCAAGUAAUAAUUGCACUGUCUAAUCAUCUUCUUCCAGUUACUGAUGGCGUCAUCGCCCUACUUGAACCAGAUGCCCUCACCAACCUCCAUGCAAUUGUAACAAUUCAAAAGAUGCAAAAGGAUGCUUUGGAGAUCCAAAUUUUGGAACAUAAGUUAUAGG